Molecule: transfer RNA, 69 nt
Filed under: Heterotis niloticus (African bonytongue)
Lineage: Eukaryota; Metazoa; Chordata; Actinopteri; Osteoglossiformes; Osteoglossidae
Description: tRNA-Ala
Rfam family: tRNA
About the family: Transfer RNA (tRNA) molecules are approximately 80 nucleotides in length. Their secondary structure includes four short double-helical elements and three loops (D, anti-codon, and T loops). Further hydrogen bonds mediate the characteristic L-shaped molecular structure. tRNAs have two regions of fundamental functional importance: the anti-codon, which is responsible for specific mRNA codon recognition, and the 3' end, to which the tRNAs corresponding amino acid is attached (by aminoacyl-tRNA synthetases). tRNAs cope with the degeneracy of the genetic code in two manners: having more than one tRNA (with a specific anti-codon) for a particular amino acid; and 'wobble' base-pairing, i.e. permitting non-standard base-pairing at the 3rd anti-codon position.
Source: RNAcentral
GAGGCCUUAGCUUAAUGAAAGUGUCUGAGUUGCAUUCAGGAGAUGUGGGUUAAAGGCCCAUAGGCUUUA